CCCGUCAAUGUCAGCGGUGACAGUCACAUUAAAACAGAUUUGAAACCUUUAAACAAAUCAGUAUGGAUCUUCUAUUUGAUCUUCCAGAACAUUCUCAGACAUGACUCUGGUCAGUAUCAGUGUCAAGGUGGAGGGAGUACGAGUCAUGCCAUCACUGUCAAUGUCUAUGAUCAUGCUGAAAUUACCACUAUUACACAGAAUAAUCUCACAGAUCAUGGUGAAAUUACCACUGUUACACAGAAUAAUCUCACAGUCAGCACGACUUCUGUUCCUGACAAUACAGAAACCUUGUUGCUGUACGUGUACUCUGCUGCUGGGAUCACCACAUUCGUCAUCAUAGUCAUAAUCAUAUCUGUCAUAUCAAUGCGAGGCUGUAAAGGGAAGCCAAAGAAAGACAGUCAAGUUGAAAAUCAGAUGGAGAUCCCCAUGGUGGAUCAAUUCUUUUCAAAAGUCAUCUUCAAGCACUUGGAAAGAGGAAAGAGGAAGACCCUCUGCUCUGCGAUCUCGGAGAUGUAACAAGGACACCAUCAUCGUAACUCAAUGAGCUGACAUUAUCAAGAUAUGAUGAACAGGCAUAUUGACCAAGGAGGGCAAUAUGCCUGCUCGAGGAGGAGAGCAGCUAUGUUGUGUUUGCUGCUCCCAACCACAAGCUGUACAAUUAGCAGGUGAUG
Molecule: long non-coding RNA, 671 nt
Organism: Astatotilapia calliptera (eastern happy)
Lineage: Eukaryota; Metazoa; Chordata; Actinopteri; Cichliformes; Cichlidae
Source: Ensembl